Molecule: ribosomal RNA, 424 nt
Filed under: uncultured Prevotella sp.
Lineage: Bacteria; Pseudomonadati; Bacteroidota; Bacteroidia; Bacteroidales; Prevotellaceae
Description: bacterial SSU rRNA
Rfam family: Bacterial small subunit ribosomal RNA
Source: RNAcentral
CCUACGGGAGGCAGCAGUGGGGGAUAUUGCACAAUGGGCGAAAGCCUGAUGCAGCGACGCCGCGUGAGGGAAGACGGCCUUCGGGUUGUAAACCUCUGUCAUUCGGGACGAAUAGAUGACGGUACCGAAGAAGGAAGCUCCGGCUAACUACGUGCCAGCAGCCGCGGUAAUACGUAGGGAGCGAGCGUUGUCCGGAAUUACUGGGUGUAAAGGGAGCGUAGGCGGGAAAGCAAGUUGGAAGUGAAAUGCAUGGGCUUAACCCAUGAGCUGCUUUCAAAACUGUUUUUCUUGAGUGAAGUAGAGGCAGGCGGAAUUCCUAGUGUAGCGGUGAAAUGCGUAGAUAUUAGGAGGAACACCAGUGGCGAAGGCGGCCUGCUGGGCUUUAACUGACGCUGAGGCUCGAAAGCGUGGGUAGCAAACAGGA